CGGCCUAGGGGGGCAGCAGUGGGGAGUAUUGCACAAUGGGGGAAACCCUGAUGCAGCGACGCCGCGUGAGUGAAGAAGUGCACCGGCACGUAAAGCUCUAUCAGCAGGGAAGAAAAUGACGGUACCUGACUAAGAAGCCCCGGCUAACUACGUGCCAGCAGCCGCGGUAAUACGUAGGGGGCAAGCGUUAUCCGGAUUUACUGGGUGUAAAGGGAGCGUAGACGGCUUUGCAAGCCAGAUGUGAAAGCCCGGGGCUCAACCCCGGGACUGCAUUUGGAACUGUGUGGCUAGAGUGUCGGAGAGGG
This 305-nucleotide ribosomal RNA is filed under the name uncultured bacterium. RNAcentral's name for it is "bacterial SSU rRNA". It matches the Rfam family "Bacterial small subunit ribosomal RNA", at positions 335 to 658 of the family's 1533-position model. The record is from RNAcentral.